AUGCGAUGUAGGAGUAUAAAACAAAUAAUGAGAGAGAAUUCUAAAGCGAGAGGAAACAGAAAACUCAACGCUAACCCAAGGGGUUUGGUGGCUUUACCUCAUCGUGACUCUAGAUGGCAGCAUCCGCUCACUUCCCCCAGCUGGGAAACUAGCGCCGGAAGCAGCCUGAAUCCGAGUGAAAUUGAACGUUUUCCAUAUGGGAGAAUCUGCCGGGCGCAAGCAUCUGUUCAAGCCCCACGAGCGCUUAGGAGGGUUCUCCCCACUUCAAUGAACUCACAGAGGCAGACAUCUGACCCCACUUUGGUCCAUUUACUCCAUACAUAUAAGCCAAGGGAUGGGAAGGAACAGAAGGCUCCACUGCGGUGCUGGCUGUGGGUUUACACGUUGCGGAUCCCCAGGGACUGGACCCGGUGCUGUUCUGCAGAAGGCUCGUGA
This 435-nucleotide long non-coding RNA is filed under the name Papio anubis (olive baboon). RNAcentral's name for it is "lncRNA (ENSPANG00000043705.1)". Lineage: Eukaryota; Metazoa; Chordata; Mammalia; Primates; Cercopithecidae. The record is from RNAcentral.